Molecule: long non-coding RNA, 1158 nt
Filed under: Oryzias javanicus (javanese ricefish)
Lineage: Eukaryota; Metazoa; Chordata; Actinopteri; Beloniformes; Adrianichthyidae
Description: lncRNA (ENSOJAG00000013570.1)
Source: RNAcentral
AUGGAGGAGAACUAUCCUACAAUGAAAGAAGAACGGUCUGAACUGACAGUUCUGAAGGCUCAACUGGAAAAAGAGAUUUCUGCUCAGAGAAAGCAGAAGGAGGAAACACAUCAGCUGAUUGUUCAACAUGAGGAGGAAAGGAGACAACUGGAAUCACUCCGAGAAGAAAUCAACCUUCUGACAGCAGACAGAAACACACUGGCAGAUGAACUGCAACACCGUAAAGCGCUGGAGUCUGAAUGUAUGGAGAUACAAGCAGAAACCAACCACUUGGUGGAACAAGUUCUCAACUGUACACAAGAUGUUUCCGAGCUGAAGGAAAUGAUUUCAGUGUUUGAUGAUGUGCAAGAAAAACUCAAUGUUGCAAAGGAGGAAAAUCUGAAGGCAAAGAACAAAAGCCACCUUCUCCAGAACCAAAUCCAAGACCUGAAGGUUCAGAUGCAGAAUCCACAACAGGCAAUCGCUGAUCUACAGAAAGAAAUCAACCAUCUCCAGGAGAAAAAUAAAGAAAUUACAGAGGUUCAAGCUGAACUUGACAGAAUCUCUGAGAAAAAGUCCAAACUGGAGGACAAGAAGAAGCAGCUUCAGGAUGAGGUUUCACAUCUGAAACAGCAGCAGGAGGAAGUACAGGAACUGGCUGUUCAGUACAACAAUGUACUGGAUCAACUGGGACCCCUUCAAGAGGAAACUAACAACCUCAAAGAGGAAAGAAAGAAGCUGACUGAUCUUCUGAAACACCGUCAAAUACUGGAGACUGAAUAUAAGGAGAUCAAAGCUGAAGCGGAUCAGGUAGAAGAUGAAAACUUCCACCUUCAUGCUGAAGUUGAUGAUCUGCAGAAGAAGCUUUCAAAUAUGAAAGAUGAGGAGGACAAAGUUUUAAAAGAAAAGGAGAGAAAUCUGAAAGCAAAGCAAGAACAUGACCUUCUCCAGAACCAGAUCCAAGACCUGCAGGUUCAGAAGCAGAAUCCCAAACAGGUUUCACAUCUGAAACAGCAGCAAGACGAAGCUCAUGAACUGGUUGUUAAGUACAACAUGGUAAUGGAUCAACUGAAGGGACGAUUUAAGUACAACAAAGUACUGGAUGAACUGAAGAGACGAACAAUAAUGAGAAGGAAGUUAUAUGAACUGAAAAGAACACCAGGAAGAGUUCAGAACUGA